UUGGAGGGCAAGUCUGGUGCCAGCAGCCGCGGUAAUUCCAGCUCCAAUAGCGUAUAUUAAAGUUGUUGCAGUUAAAAAGCUCGUAGUUGAAUUUCGGGAUCAAUGUUUCGGUCAUGCCGUUGGUAUGUACUGAUAUUAUUGGUUUCUCACCUUCUAAAGAACCGUAAUGCCAUUAAUUUGGUGUCACGGGGAAUUAGGACUGUUACCUUGAAAAAAUUAGAGUGUUUAAAGCAGGCUCACGCUUGAAUACAUUAGCAUGGAAUAAUGAAAUAGGACAUCCGGUUCUAUUUUGUUGGUUUCUAGGAUCGAUGUAAUGAUUAAUAGGGAUAGUUGGGGGCAUUAGUAUUCAAUUGUCAGAGGUGAAAUUCUUGGAUUUAUUGAAGACUAACUACUGCGAAAGCAUUUGCCAAGGAUGUUUUCAUUAAUCAAGAACGAAAGUUAGGGGAUCGAAGACGAUCAGAUACCGUCGUAGUCUUAACCAUAAACUAUGCCGACUAGGGAUCGGAUGAUGUUAAUUUUUUAAUGACUCAUUCGGCGCCUUACGGGAAACCAAAGUGUUUGGGUUC
RNAcentral lists this ribosomal RNA (566 nucleotides) under uncultured Glomeromycotina. RNAcentral's name for it is "SSU rRNA". It matches the Rfam family "Eukaryotic small subunit ribosomal RNA", at positions 548 to 1114 of the family's 1831-position model. Lineage: Eukaryota; Fungi; Glomeromycota. The record is from RNAcentral.